Long non-coding RNA from Ostrea edulis (European flat oyster), 2779 nucleotides. RefSeq lists it as uncharacterized. Lineage: Eukaryota; Metazoa; Mollusca; Bivalvia; Ostreida; Ostreidae. The record is from RefSeq and is a predicted model, not a curated record. The transcript has 3 exons.
CGUGAAGGCAGAUAUUAUUUGAAGCGUGAAGGCAGAUAUUAUUUGAAGCGUGACGAAAAGAAGCACCCCAUUGAGAGAUGCAAGCGGCACUGACAGACCUAACCGUUAUUCAACUUAUUGACUCAUGGAUAGAGGGUGUCCUCAAAAGAUCUGUGUGGAUCCUGGAACAGAGAAUGGAAUCGUUGCAGCAUUUCAUUGAAUCCUGUUUAGAAGGAAAUGGCAAUUCAGUUACUUAGGGAAAAUCUGGAGCAAAUCAAGGUGCUUCACAAUACUUCUAUGCAGUUCAACAAAAUACAGCGCCUCAUUUACAAAGACUCGUAUUUAAACAAUUUCCAAGAUAUUGAUGAAGAUUUUACAUGUGUGGCAACAUCUAUUUUGCAUCAGCAUGAUCUGCCUUUGCCUGACACCUUGAGAGACUGGACCUCUACUCAUCAUCUCUACAUAUAUCUGAGGGAGUGCAUGAUGCAUUUGAAGAUUCUUUAACAUCAUAAGAUGUUGUAGAAUAUACAUUUGUUUCCAUGACUUUGUACACUUGCUUUUAUUGCCAGCUGAUUUCUGUUCCAUAGUUUUAUGUAUUUAACUAAUCAGAUACAUUUUCAUGUAUUCACAUUUUCUGGGGGUGUUUUUUUAUCCUUGAAAUAUUUUAAAUGUGGAGCUUUACAGAAUUUCAUUUGGUAUGAAUGCUAAAGGCUAUUCAUGAACAGAAUUUUUUCUUUGAACUCUCCCAUCCCACUCCACCAUCCCCUAAAAAAACAUCCAUGACUUUUGUCCAAGCCAUACCUUUGUACUGUUAAACUUGCUAACCACAGGAGUUUACAGAAAUUUUUAGCUCUUCUGAGCCAAAGGCUCAAAGAGCUAAUGCUAUGGCCAUUUGUGCGGUGUGCGUAAACUUUUUAGAAAAAGGGCUAUAACUCAAGAACCCCUUGGCCAAUUUUUUUCAAAUUUGUUACAGGGUAUCAUUGGCCCAAGGGCUUUCAUACAUACUAAAUAGAGGGAUGUGACCAUUUAACAAGGGGAGAUAAUCAGGAAAAUACAAACAAAAGUAGUGGUUGCUAAAAAAUCUUCUUCUCAAGAACCACAGGGCAGAUUAUCACCAAACUUACACAUAAGGAUGAGGAUAUGUUGUAGAUUAGAAAUUGUUCAAGGCAUUACCCUGGGGCAAAGGGCAUGGUCUCAAGGUCACUUCAAAGUUGACCUAAAUUUAAAUUUUUUUUAAAUUCCUUAAAUCUUAGAUGUUUUAGUCAUUAUAAGGACUAGGAUCAUCAAAUUUUGACAGUUGAUGCAUCUUAGGACCUUGUGUCAAGUUGUCUCAAAAGUAGGUCACGGUGACCUACUUUUUGAAUUUUGCAGGUAUUUAUUUUAAAAUUAAUUUUGAUGCAUAUCUUGGACACUUUGAAGCCUAUGAUCAUCAAAACUUGUCAGUUGGUGGAUCAUGGGACCUUGAAAUGCGUCAACUGAAAAAUAGGUCACCGUGACCUACUUUCUGAAUUUUAUGGCUUAUCAUUUAUAGAUAUAUUUUAAGUUGUUAUUUCAAAUACCGAGAGGUUUAGAAUCAUCAAAUCUUGUAAGUUGAUGCAUUUUGAGGCCUUGAAGCAUAUUUAUAAAAAAAAAAAAAAAAAAGUAGGUCACAGUGACCUACUUUUUUAAUUUUGCAGAUAUUCAAAUUUCACAUUUUCAAUUUUAGAUGCAUAUUUUGGGCACUGUAAAACCUAGGAUCAUCAAACUUUGUCAGUUGAUGCGUCUUCAGUCUUCGGUUUGUGUCGACCAAAGAGUAGGUCACCGUGACCUUCUUUUGGUAUUUGACAGCUAAAUUACUAUAUUUCAGACACUAUUUGACCUAUAAUCAUCAAACUUUGUCAGUUGAUGCAUCUUGAGUCUUCGGAGUGUAUCGACCAAAAAGUAGGUCACUGUGACCUACUUUUGGCAUUUGACAGUUAUAUUUAUAUAUUUCAGUCACUAAUUGACCUACAAUCAUCAAACUUUGACAGUUGAUGCAUCUUGAGUCAACGGAGUGUGUCGACCAAAAAGUAGGUCACCUUGACCUACUUUUGGAAUUUGACGGCUAUAUUUAUAUAUUUCAGAUACUGUUUGACCUACAGUCAUCAAACUUUGUCAGUUGAUGCGUCUUGCAUGUUCAAAGGGUGUUCACCAAAAAGUAGGUCACCAUGACCUACUUUUGGAAUUGGACGGCUAUAUUUAUAUAAUUCAGAUACUAUUUGACCUACAGUCAUCAAACUUUGUCAGUUGUUGGGUCUUGCAUGUUUGAAGGGUGUUGACGAAAAAGUAGGUCACCUUGACCUACUUUUGGAAUUUGACGGCUAUAUUUAUAUAUUUCAGAUACUAUUUGACCUACAGUCAUCAAACUUUGUCAGUUGAUGGGUCUUGCAUGUUCGGAGUUCGCUGACCAAAAGGUAGGUCAACAUGACCUACGAUUGGAAUUUGACAGCUAUAUUUCAAUAUUCAGAUACUAAUUGGCUUAAAAUCAUCAAACUUUGUCAGUUGAUAUUUCUUGGGUUCUCAAAAUGUGUAAACCAACAAGUAGGUCACAUUGACCUACUUUUUUUGAAUUCUUAGGAUUUAACUAAAGAUUUAGAAUACUAAUAGGCUAAGAAUAGAAAUGGUGGGGUUGUACAAUUUAUCAGAAGAGCGAUUCUAGGCCCUUGGGCCUCUUGUUUUUAUUUGCUAUGCAUUUAUAUAUUCAAAAUGUUUAGCACCUUCUGAUAUGUAUUAUUAAUGUCAAAUAUGUAUGAUUGUGUAAUAAAUUAUAUACAUGUAUUUA